CCGUUCCAAGAUGCUGUCAAAAUUAAAUCAAUAUGGCUACUGGAAGGCAAACAUUGAAUAUUAUUCUAUCAGGUUCUUAUGGUUUUAGAUCAUUUUAGUUGUUGUACAAAGAUUAAUUUAACAUUUUCUCUGGAAGUAUUAAUUUAGAAAGAUAAUAUGCCUCAUUGGUGUUGUGUUUUGAAGUGUGAAAUGCAAAGUAAUCGUGAUAAAGUUAGCUUUUACCACUUACCAUCAGUGCUACAUUCUAAGCACAAAACUGAACCAAUUUAACUAAAUAAGUUAUAGUUAUCAUCUGAGAGACAACAACAAUGGUAAAAUGCAAUAAAAUAUAAAGAUUUUACUAGCAAAAUGGAAAUUCCCCUGUAAUCAUCUUAUAUCUGGAAAACCAGCCGACUUAACUGAUAAUAACAAUCCAGAUUGGGUUCCUUCAAUAAAUAUGGGGUAUAUAAACACAAUGAAAUGAGUUCCCCAAAAUCUAAAAUGGGAAUUAAGGUACCAAAGGAGAAUUAAAAGAAAAGGGUACCUACAAGAAAAAAUUGCUUUUUUAUUCCUCUUGAAAUGAUUUAUAAGACACUGGACUGUCUUAUAUUCUACAAAUACUAGAAUCAGCUGAGAGAAGUGGUCUACAAAAACCCAGGAAGGAAACGGAAUAUGUGGCUACGAAAGGCAAAAGAAAGGUUUACAAAGCAAAUGUGACACAUUUUUUUGAAAUAUUUAGGAAUAUCAGUAAAUUGCAUUAAAAAAAUGUAUGAAAAGAUUUUGUUCAAUAAAAAUGUUUAUAUUUAUCAAGGAUGUAUUAAUUGGUAUGGCCACAUAUCGUCAGUGAUGUAAUAAUACAUCCUAUCUGUUUUUU
Diabrotica virgifera virgifera (western corn rootworm) is the source of this 853-nucleotide long non-coding RNA. RefSeq lists it as uncharacterized. The transcript is spliced from 3 exons. Lineage: Eukaryota; Metazoa; Arthropoda; Insecta; Coleoptera; Chrysomelidae. The record is from RefSeq and is a predicted model, not a curated record.